Molecule: ribosomal RNA, 497 nt
Filed under: uncultured bacterium
Lineage: Bacteria
Description: partial 16S ribosomal RNA
Rfam family: Bacterial small subunit ribosomal RNA
Source: RNAcentral
GAUGAACGCUGGCGGCGUGCCUAAUACAUGCAAGUCGAGCGAACAGAUGAGGAGCUUGCUCCUCUGACGUUAGCGGCGGACGGGUGAGUAACACGUGGAUAACCUACCUAUAAGACUGGGAUAACUUCGGGAAACCUGAGCUAAUACCGGAUAAUAUAUUGAACCGCAUGGUUCAAUAGUGAAAGACGGUUUUGCUGUCACUUAUAGAUGGAUCCGCGCCGCAUUAGCUAGUUGGUAAGGUAACGGCUUACCAAGGCAACGAUGCGUAGCCGACCUGAGAGGGUGAUCGGCCACACUGGAACUGAGACACGGUCCAGACUCCUACGGGAGGCAGCAGUAGGGAAUCUUCCGCAAUGGGCGAAAGCUUGACGGAGCAACGCCGCGUGAGUGAUGAAGGUCUUCGGAUCGUAAAACUCUGUUAUUAGGGAAGAACAAAUGUGUAAGUAACUAUGCACGUCUUGACGGUACCUAAUCAGAAAGCCACGGCUAACUACGUG